GGCGAACGGGUGAGUAACACGUGGGCAAUCUGCCCUUCACUCUGGGACAAGCCCUGGAAACGGGGUCUAAUACCGGAUAACACUCUGUCCCGCAUGGGACGGGGUUAAAAGCUCCGGCGGUGAAGGAUGAGCCCGCGGCCUAUCAGCUUGUUGGUGGGGUAAUGGCCUACCAAGGCGACGACGGGUAGCCGGCCUGAGAGGGCGACCGGCCACACUGGGACUGAGACACGGCCCAGACUCCUACGGGAGGCAGCAGUGGGGAAUAUUGCACAAUGGGCGAAAGCCUGAUGCAGCGACGCCGCGUGAGGGAUGACGGCCUUCGGGUUGUAAACCUCUUUCAGCAGGGAAGAAGCGAAAGUGACGGUACCUGCAGAAGAAGCGCCGGCUAACUACGUGCCAGCAGCCGCGGUAAUACGUAGGGCGCAAGCGUUGUCCGGAAUUAUUGGGCGUAAAGAGCUCGUAGGCGGCUUGUCACGUCGGAUGUGAAAGCCCGGGGCUUAACCCCGGGUCUGCAUUCGAUACGGGCUAGCUAGAGUGUGG
This 540-nucleotide ribosomal RNA is filed under the name Streptomyces sp. RNAcentral describes it as "bacterial SSU rRNA". It matches the Rfam family "Bacterial small subunit ribosomal RNA", at positions 97 to 651 of the family's 1533-position model. Lineage: Bacteria; Bacillati; Actinomycetota; Actinomycetes; Kitasatosporales; Streptomycetaceae. The record is from RNAcentral.